UACGGAGGGAGCUAGCGUUGUUCGGAAUUACUGGGCGUAAAGCGUGCGUAGGCGGUUAUUCAAGUCAGAGGUGAAAUCCCGGGGCUCAACCCCGGAACUGCAUCCGAUACUGCCGUGCUAGAGGAUUGGAGAGGUAGCUGGAAUUCUUGGUGUAGCAGUGAAAUGCGUGGAGAUCAAGAGGAACACUCGUGGCGAAAGCGAGCUACUGGACAAUAUCUGACGCUGAGGCUCGAAGGCCAGGGUAGCGAAAGGG
RNAcentral lists this ribosomal RNA (253 nucleotides) under uncultured bacterium. RNAcentral's name for it is "partial 16S ribosomal RNA". It matches the Rfam family "Bacterial small subunit ribosomal RNA", at positions 524 to 776 of the family's 1533-position model. The record is from RNAcentral.